Long non-coding RNA from Ananas comosus (pineapple), 416 nucleotides. RefSeq lists it as uncharacterized. Lineage: Eukaryota; Viridiplantae; Streptophyta; Magnoliopsida; Poales; Bromeliaceae. The transcript is spliced from 2 exons. The record is from RefSeq and is a predicted model, not a curated record.
UUUUGGGCUUGUUAUCGAAUACAAGAACUUGUACUGUGUCUUAAUUCUUAAAAUACGAAACACACAAAUUUGUUCGAAGAUACAUAGAUUCAGACUCACAUUUUAAGCAGGAAAGGGCACAAUUUUUUUUCUUUUAACUCCAGAAAUUGGAAGAGGCCACAAGAAAUGCUCUGCUCACAAUACCUGCUAGUGACUAUGCACUACUUGGGGCACCUUCCUUGGUUCACAUAAGAAACUUGGUGCGAAGUAUAUAUACCUACCAGUACUUGAAUCAUGUACUUCUUUAGAGAGAGAGAGAGAGAGAGAGAGAGAGAGAGAGAGGAAAUUCUUGGGGUUUCAUGCUUGCGCAUGACACCUGUAGAGCUUCUCUGUUCUUAUCAUUUCACCGCUUAAGCCGCUUAUUUAUUGCGCAUGAA